This 74-nucleotide transfer RNA is filed under the name Verticillium dahliae VdLs.17. RNAcentral describes it as "tRNA-Leu (CAA) (tRNA-Leu-CAA-1-1)". It matches the Rfam family "tRNA". From Rfam's summary of the family: Transfer RNA (tRNA) molecules are approximately 80 nucleotides in length. Their secondary structure includes four short double-helical elements and three loops (D, anti-codon, and T loops). Further hydrogen bonds mediate the characteristic L-shaped molecular structure. tRNAs have two regions of fundamental functional importance: the anti-codon, which is responsible for specific mRNA codon recognition, and the 3' end, to which the tRNAs corresponding amino acid is attached (by aminoacyl-tRNA synthetases). tRNAs cope with the degeneracy of the genetic code in two manners: having more than one tRNA (with a specific anti-codon) for a particular amino acid; and 'wobble' base-pairing, i.e. permitting non-standard base-pairing at the 3rd anti-codon position. RNAcentral also lists the same sequence under 2 other names. Lineage: Eukaryota; Fungi; Ascomycota; Sordariomycetes; Glomerellales; Plectosphaerellaceae. The record is from RNAcentral.
GCCACUAUGGCCGAGUGGUUAAGGCGUCUGAUUCAAGCUCGAGAGAGGCUCGCGUUCGAAUCGCGAUGGUGGCA